CCUUGACUGUCUCCCCCCAAAAAUUUCCUUUCACUUUCGGUCUCUGGCUGUCACCCGGCUUGGCCCCUUCCACACCCAACUGGGGCAAGCCUGACCCGGCGACAGGAGGCAUGAGGGGCCCCCGGCCGAAAUGACAGUGCUGGCGCCAGCCUGGAGCCCAACAACCUAUCUCCUCCUGCUGCUGCUGCUGAGCUCGGGACUCAGUGGGACCCAGGACUGCUCCUUCCAACACAGCCCCAUCUCCUCCGACUUCGCUGUCAAAAUCCGUGAGCUGUCUGACUACCUGCUUCAAGAUUACCCGGUCACCGUGGCCUCCAACCUGCAGGACGAGGAGCUCUGCGGGGCCCUCUGGCGGCUGGUCCUGGCACAGCGCUGGAUGGAGCGGCUCAAGACUGUCGCUGGGUCCAAGAUGCAAGGCUUGCUGGAGCGCGUGAACACGGAGAUACACUUUGUCACCAAAUGUGCCUUUCAGCCCCCCCCCAGCUGUCUUCGCUUCGUCCAGACCAACAUCUCCCGCCUCCUGCAGGAGACCUCCGAGCAGCUGGUGGCGCUGAAGCCCUGGAUCACUCGCCAGAACUUCUCCCGGUGCCUGGAGCUGCAGUGUCAGCCCGACUCCUCAACCCUGCCACCCCCAUGGAGUCCCCGGCCCCUGGAGGCCACAGCCCCGACAGCCCCACAGCCCCCUCUGCUCCUCCUACUGCUGCUGCCCGUGGGCCUCCUGCUGCUGGCCGCUGCCUGGUGCCUGCACUGGCAGAGGACGCGGCGGAGGACACCCCGCCCUGGGGAGCAGGUGCCCCCCGUCCCCAGUCCCCAGGACCUGCUGCUUGUGGAGCACUGACCUGGCCAAGGCCUCAUCCUGUUGAGAUGGGGUUUUGCCAUGUUGGCCAGGCUGGUCUCAAACUCCUGAUCUCAGCUGAUCCGCCCGCCUCAGCCUCCCAAAGUGCUGGGAUGACAGGUGUGAGCCACUGUUCCUGGCCCAUGCUGGGCUUUCCACAAAUGAACUCACUUCCUUGAGAAGUUCGUGCCAUUAUGAUCCCAAGGCAUAGAGAGAUGGAGUCUUGCUCUGUCGCCCAGGCUGUAGUGCAGUGGCAUGAUCUCGGCUCACUGCAGCCCCCGCCUCCCAGGUUCAAGCGAUUCUCCUGCCUCAGCCUCUGGAGUAGCUGGGAUUACAGCGGAUCCUUAAACAACCCAGUGAGACAGACAUCUAUCAUCCCAUUUUACAGGGGAGGAUACUGAGGCACACAGAGGGGAGUCACCAGCCAGAGGAUGCAUAGCCUGGACACAGAGGAAGUUGGCUAGAGGCCGGUCCCUUCCUUGGGCCCCUCUCAUUCCCUCCCCAGGAUGGAGGCAACGCCAGAAUCCAGCACCGGCCCCACUUACCCAACUCUGUACAAAGCCCUUGUCCCCAUGAAAUUGUAUAUAAAUCAUCCUUUUCUACCA
RNA transcript from Pan troglodytes (chimpanzee), 1440 nucleotides. It is a transcript of the gene named fms related receptor tyrosine kinase 3 ligand, with no coding region annotated. The record is from RefSeq and is a predicted model, not a curated record. The transcript is spliced from 11 exons. NCBI's taxonomy places the organism in Eukaryota, Metazoa, Chordata, Mammalia, Primates, Hominidae.